RNAcentral lists this ribosomal RNA (497 nucleotides) under uncultured bacterium. Its description in RNAcentral is "partial 16S ribosomal RNA". It matches the Rfam family "Bacterial small subunit ribosomal RNA", at positions 28 to 507 of the family's 1533-position model. The record is from RNAcentral.
GAUGAACGCUGGCGGCGUGCCUAAUACAUGCAAGUCGAGCGAACAGACGAGGAGCUUGCUCCUCUGACGUUAGCGGCGGACGGGUGAGUAACACGUGGAUAACCUACCUAUAAGACUGGGAUAACUUCGGGAAACCGGAGCUAAUACCGGAUAAUAUAUUUAACCGCAUGGUUCAAUAGUGAAAGACGGUUUUGCUGUCACUUAUAGAUGGAUCCGCGCCGCAUUAGCUAGUUGGUAAGGUAACGGCUUACCAAGGCAACGAUGCGUAGCCGACCUGAGAGGGUGAUCGGCCACACUGGAACUGAGACACGGUCCAGACUCCUACGGGAGGCAGCGGUAGGGAAUCUUCCGCAAUGGGCGAAAGCCUGACGGAGCAACGCCGCGUGAGUGAUGAAGGUCUUCGGAUCGUAAAACUCUGUUAUUAGGGAAGAACAAAUGUGUAAGUAACUAUGCACGUCUUGACGGUACCUAAUCAGAAAGCCACGGCUAACUACGUG